Molecule: ribosomal RNA, 511 nt
Filed under: uncultured Actinomyces sp.
Lineage: Bacteria; Bacillati; Actinomycetota; Actinomycetes; Actinomycetales; Actinomycetaceae
Description: partial 16S ribosomal RNA
Source: RNAcentral
CACGUAGUUAGCCGGCGCUUCUUAUCCAACUACCGUCAACCAGGCGAAUAAGGCCUGGCCUGCUUCACUGGCGAAAGAGGUUUACAACCCGAAGGCCUUCAUCCCUCACGCGGCGUCGCUGCAUCAGGCUUGCGCCCAUUGUGCAAUAUUCCCCACUGCUGCCUCCCGUAGGAGUCUGGGCCGUGUCUCAGUCCCAGUGUGACCGUCCACCCUCUCAGGCCGGCUACCCGUCAAAGCCUUGGUAGGCCAUCACCCCACCAACAAGCUGAUAGGCCGCGAGCCCAUCCCCCACCAGAAAAAACCUUUCCAGACCCCACCAUGCGGCAGGACCUGAAUAUCCCGUAUUAGCUACCGUUUCCGGCAGUUAUCCAGGAGAAGGGGGCAGGUUACUCACGUGUUACUCACCCGUUCGCCACUCAUCCACCCCAGCAAGCUGGGGCUUCACCGUUUCGACUUGCAUGUGUUAAGCACGCCGCCAGCGUCGUUCCCGACGCCACGGAUACAAACUACU